AGGAAAUUAGUUAAUAAUAACAUUUGAUUUGCAUUCAAAAAGUAUUGAAUACAAUAUUUCUUA
RNAcentral lists this transfer RNA (63 nucleotides) under Nanhuaphasma hamicercum. Its description in RNAcentral is "tRNA-Ala". It matches the Rfam family "tRNA". Rfam says of the family: Transfer RNA (tRNA) molecules are approximately 80 nucleotides in length. Their secondary structure includes four short double-helical elements and three loops (D, anti-codon, and T loops). Lineage: Eukaryota; Metazoa; Arthropoda; Insecta; Phasmatodea; Aschiphasmatidae. The record is from RNAcentral.